This is a non-coding RNA of Potamilus streckersoni, 73 nucleotides long. The record is from the annotation of a GenBank genome assembly. Lineage: Eukaryota; Metazoa; Mollusca; Bivalvia; Unionida; Unionidae.
ACCCCGGUGGCUUAGUGGUUAGAGCGUCCGCCUCGGAUGCGGGAGGUCGCGGGUUCGAACUUCGGUCGAGUCA